UUAAGUUAAUAAGGGCGCACGGUGGAUGCCUUGGCACUAGGAGCCGACGAAGGACGUGACAAACGACGAUAUGCCUUGGGUAGCUGUAAGUAAGCGAUGAUCCAGGGAUUUCCGAAUGGGGGAACCCAACAGGUAAUACCUGUUACCUACAUCUGUUAAGGAUGUGAGGAGGAAGACGCAGUGAACUGAAACAUCUAAGUAGCUGCAGGAAGAGAAAGCAAAAGCGAUUGCCUUAGUAGCGGCGAGCGAAACGGCAGAAGGGCAAACCGAAGAGUUUACUCUUCGGGGUUGUAGGACUGCAAUGUGGACUCAAAGAUUAUAGAAGAAUGAUUUGGGAAGAUCAGCCAAAGAGAGUAAUAGCCUCGUAUUUAAAAUAGUCUUUGUACCUAGCAGUAUCCUGAGUACGGCGGGACACGUGAAAUCCCGUCGGAAUCUGGGAGGACCAUCUCCCAACCCUAAAUACUCCCUAGUGACCGAUAGUGAACCAGUACCGUGAGGGAAAGGUGAAAAGCACCCCGGGAGGGGAGUGAAAUAGAACCUGAAACCGUGUGCCUACAACAAGUUCGAGCCCGUUAAUGGGUGAGAGCGUGCCUUUUGUAGAAUGAACCGGCGAGUUACGUUAUGAUGCGAGGUUAAGUUGAAGAGACGGAGCCGUAGGGAAACCGAGUCUGAAUAGGGCGCCUUAGUAUCAUGACGUAGACCCGAAACCAUGUGACCUACCCAUGAGCAGGUUGAAGGUGCGGUAAGACGCACUGGAGGACCGAACCAGGGCACGUUGAAAAGUGCUUGGAUGACUUGUGGGUAGCGGAGAAAUUCCAAACGAACUUGGAGAUAGCUGGUUCUCUCCGAAAUAGCUUUAGGGCUAGCGUCGACAUUAGAGAUUCUUGGAGGUAGAGCACUGUUUGGGUGAGGGGUCCAUCCCGGAUUACCAAUCUCAGAUAAACUCCGAAUGCCAAUGAAUUAUGGUCGGCAGUCAGACUGCGAGUGCUAAGAUCCGUAGUCGAAAGGGAAACAGCCCAGACCACCAGCUAAGGUCCCAAAAUAAUUGUUAAGUGGAAAAGGAUGUGGGGUUGCACAGACAACUAGGAUGUUAGCUUAGAAGCAGCUAUUCAUUCAAAGAGUGCGUAAUAGCUCACUAGUCGAGUGACCCUGCGCCGAAAAUGUACCGGGGCUAAAACAAUUUACCGAAGCUGUGGAUACCUUUAUAGGUAUGGUAGGAGAGCGUUCUAUGUGUGAUGAAGGUAUACCGUGAGGAGUGCUGGAACGCAUAGAAGUGAGAAUGCCGGUAUGAGUAGCGAAAGACAGGUGAGAAUCCUGUCCACCGUAAGACUAAGGUUUCCAGGGGAAGGCUCGUCCGCCCUGGGUUAGUCGGGACCUAAGGAGAGACCGAAAGGUGUAUCCGAUGGACAACAGGUUGAUAUUCCUGUACUAGAGUAUGUAGUGAUGGAGGGACGCAGUAGGCUAACUAAAGCAGACGAUUGGAAGAGUCUGUCUAAGCAGUGAGGUGUGAAUUGAGUCAAAUGCUUAAUUCUAUAACAUUGAGCUGUGAUGGGGAGCGAAGUUUAGUAGCGAAGUUAGUGACGUCACACUGCCAAGAAAAGCUUCUAGCGUUUAAACAUACUCUACCCGUACCGCAAACCGACACAGGUAGUCGAGGCGAGUAGCCUCAGGUGAGCGAGAGAACUCUCGUUAAGGAACUCGGCAAAAUGACCCCGUAACUUCGGGAGAAGGGGUGCUGACUUUAAGUCAGCCGCAGUGAAUAGGCCCAAGCAACUGUUUAUCAAAAACACAGCUCUCUGCUAAAUCGUAAGAUGAUGUAUAGGGGGUGACGCCUGCCCGGUGCUGGAAGGUUAAGAGGAGUGCUUAGCGUAAGCGAAGGUAUGAAUUGAAGCCCCAGUAAACGGCGGCCGUAACUAUAACGGUCCUAAGGUAGCGAAAUUCCUUGUCGGGUAAGUUCCGACCCGCACGAAAGGCGUAAUGAUUUGGGCACUGUCUCAACGAGAGACUCGGUGAAAUUUUAGUACCUGUGAAGAUGCAGGUUACCCGCGACAGGACGGAAAGACCCCAUGGAGCUUUACUGCAGUUUGAUAUUGAGUGUCUGUACCACAUGUACAGGAUAGGUAGGAGUCUAAGAGAUCGGGACGCCAGUUUCGAAGGAGACGCUGUUGGGAUACUACCCUUGUGUUAUGGCCACUCUAACCCAGAUAGGUGAUCCCUAUCGGAGACAGUGUCUGACGGGCAGUUUGACUGGGGCGGUCGCCUCCUAAAAGGUAACGGAGGCGCCCAAAGGUUCCCUCAGAAUGGUUGGAAAUCAUUCGCAGAGUGUAAAGGUAUAAGGGAGCUUGACUGCGAGAGCUACAACUCGAGCAGGGACGAAAGUCGGGCUUAGUGAUCCGGUGGUUCCGUAUGGAAGGGCCAUCGCUCAACGGAUAAAAGCUACCCUGGGGAUAACAGGCUUAUCUCCCCCAAGAGUUCACAUCGACGGGGAGGUUUGGCACCUCGAUGUCGGCUCGUCGCAUCCUGGGGCUGUAGUCGGUCCCAAGGGUUGGGCUGUUCGCCCAUUAAAGCGGCACGCGAGCUGGGUUCAGAACGUCGUGAGACAGUUCGGUCCCUAUCCGUCGCGGGCGUAGGAAAUUUGAGAGGAUCUGCUCCUAGUACGAGAGGACCAGAGUGGACUUACCGCUGGUGUACCAGUUGUCUUGCCAAAGGCAUCGCUGGGUAGCUAUGUAGGGAAGGGAUAAACGCUGAAAGCAUCUAAGUGUGAAACCCACCUCAAGAUGAGAUUUCCCAUGAUUAUAUAUCAGUAAGAGCCCUGAGAGAUGAUCAGGUAGAUAGGUUAGAAGUGGAAGUGUGGCGACACAUGUAGCGGACUAAUACUAAUAGCUCGAGGACUUAUCCAA
This 2900-nucleotide ribosomal RNA is filed under the name Streptococcus pneumoniae GA13856. RNAcentral describes it as "bacterial LSU rRNA". It matches the Rfam family "Bacterial large subunit ribosomal RNA". Lineage: Bacteria; Bacillati; Bacillota; Bacilli; Lactobacillales; Streptococcaceae. The record is from RNAcentral.